AGUGUCAAACACAAGCCAAUAUGACAAAAAUUUCAAUUUGGUAUCAUAUUUCAUUCAAUGAAUUUCCUUCAAAACUACAGCAAAAAUAUAAAAGAAAGCCAGCAAUGGCGAUUAGCAAAACAAUUAUUGAAAUAUCGAUAACAAGUACUUUGUCUCGUCUCAAAUAAACUUCAUUACUGAAAAUUUAUUCAUCAACAGGCCGCUGUCCAAGAACUGAAAUAUCCUCGUAACGCUUCCCAACAUUGUUCUUCUCCCAGAGAGUUUUAACGCCAUAAUCCACUGCCCGUUCGCCGAGCAAAGCGCCGGCGAUGACAAAGGUAACAUAGACAGGGGUACGGCGCAUAACCAGCCUGUAAAAUCCUUCAAGAACACCACCACCACUUCUUCUAGCAGCUGAUUCCAUUUUCUGAGCUUAAAAUCCCUUCUGGGUUUCGCUUAGAUUUGCUAAUUUGUAGAGAAAACAGAUGAAUUUUGAGAAAAUGCGAUGAUUUGUUUUGAGGUUUGAG
This 506-nucleotide unclassified non-coding RNA is filed under the name Hevea brasiliensis (rubber tree). Lineage: Eukaryota; Viridiplantae; Streptophyta; Magnoliopsida; Malpighiales; Euphorbiaceae. The record is from RNAcentral.